Dermochelys coriacea (leatherback sea turtle) is the source of this 1253-nucleotide long non-coding RNA. RefSeq lists it as uncharacterized. The record is from RefSeq and is a predicted model, not a curated record. The transcript has 7 exons. Lineage: Eukaryota; Metazoa; Chordata; Testudines; Dermochelyidae.
UGCCCUGCGCGGCGGCACCCCCAGACUCAGCCGCCUCCAGGCGCCCACGAGCCCGCAGGCGGUAGCCAUCUUGGAAAGGACACAGGCAGACUGCCCCCGCCCCGCCUGCGGACGUAAGGCCCGUGGCACGACGGGAGAGGUCUUGGAAAAGGGUCAGGACAAAUAUCUACACCCUGUGCAUAUGGCAAGGAAAUCUGUGAUACAGUUGCUGGAAUCCACCUGUUAAGAGUGGCAAUGAGAUGAUGUAACAAACCAUGCUCCCUCUCGCUGUAAGACAGUAAAGAACUCCUGGCUAGACAAUGACAUUACAGUACUGUGUCACUCCAUAACUUGUGACAGUGCAUGGACCAUGAGACGGACCUGCAGGGACUCCGGCUGAUUUCUUCAUUGGCGGUUCUUCCCUUCUCGGAUAAUCAGAAGGCAGGUUUAAGAAGAACACCUUGCACCUGGAGUGGAAGGUGGUGAAGUUUGUGACGGUCCUUUGUUCCUAUGGAUAUUCUUGCCACCGCCUCAAACCCACCCCCAAGAAAGUUCUGUCUCCUGCACAGAUGAGCUAUCUGCUUACGUGAUUACUUCAGUGGGAGCCGAGGAUUCUCAGUACCUCAUGGGAUGGCAGAAUGUAACUACCAGCAUGAGAUUUGGGAGCUUGUAGGUAGAGGUACAUCUUCAGCUCCUGUGAAUGGGCUCAGCAUCAGAGAGGAAGAGCUGGGAAUCUCCACUCUUUACCCACAAUGUCUGGGAUAGGCAACAAGCGGGCGGUGGCAGAGCCUGGCCCCUCUGGGCCCCCAGAGAAAAGGCAGGGGUCGAAGACUCAGAACCACAGUGGAGACCAUUAAGUUAGGAGGUGUUUCCUCAACAGAGGAGCUGGACAUCCGGACGCUGCAGACUAAGAACCGAAAGCUGGCAGAUGUUGGACCAGCGGCAGGCCAUUGAGUAUGAGCUGCGUGAGCAUAUUGAGAAGCUGGAGCGGCGGCGCCACCGAUGAUGCCUCUCUGCUGAUUGUGAACCGCUAUUGGAGUCAGGUCCGCAGCAUGCUCAGUCGAGCUGUCUUGUUCUCUCUGUGGUCUUGUCUCAUUUACUCUGAUGGUGAUGAAGUUAUGUAUCUUCUCAUUUGUCUCUUCUUCCAGUUUGAUGAAAAUAUCCGCAUCAUUCUUAACGCUAUGACCUGGAGCAAGGUCUUGGAGACCUUCUGUCUGAACGAAAAGCCUUGGUGUGCCAGAACCAGAACCAACUCAGACAGCAAUCAGGAACGU